GCUGGCGGCAGGCCUAACACAUGCAAGUCGAACGGUAACAGGAAUCAGCUUGCUGAUUCGCUGACGAGUGGCGGACGGGUGAGUAAUGUCUGGGAAACUGCCUGAUGGAGGGGGAUAACUACUGGAAACGGUAGCUAAUACCGCAUAACGUCGCAAGACCAAAGAGGGGGACCUUCGGGCCUCUUGCCAUCGGAUGUGCCCAGAUGGGAUUAGCUAGUAGGUGGGGUAAC
This 230-nucleotide ribosomal RNA is filed under the name Escherichia fergusonii. Its description in RNAcentral is "partial 16S ribosomal RNA". It matches the Rfam family "Bacterial small subunit ribosomal RNA", at positions 35 to 261 of the family's 1533-position model. Lineage: Bacteria; Pseudomonadati; Pseudomonadota; Gammaproteobacteria; Enterobacterales; Enterobacteriaceae. The record is from RNAcentral.